This 82-nucleotide transfer RNA is filed under the name Dongia mobilis. RNAcentral's name for it is "Rhodospirillaceae bacterium LM22 tRNA". It matches the Rfam family "tRNA". Rfam says of the family: Transfer RNA (tRNA) molecules are approximately 80 nucleotides in length. Their secondary structure includes four short double-helical elements and three loops (D, anti-codon, and T loops). The record is from Rfam by way of RNAcentral. Lineage: Bacteria; Pseudomonadati; Pseudomonadota; Alphaproteobacteria; Rhodospirillales; Dongiaceae.
GCGGGCGUGGCGAAAUUGGUAGACGCGCGGGAUUUAGGUUCCCGUGACGCAAGUCGUGUGGGUUCAAAUCCCUCCGCCCGCA